UAAGGAAUAUUGGACAAUGGAGGCAACUCUGAUCCAGCCAUGCCGCGUGAAGGAAUAAGGCCCUAUGGGUUGUAAACUUCUUUUAGACGGGACAAAACCCCUUUACGUGUAAAGGGUUGAUGGUACUGUCAGAAUAAGCAUCGGCUAACUUCGUGCCAGCAGCCGCGGUAAUACGAAGGAUGCAAGCGUUAUCCGGAAUUAUUGGGUUUAAAGGGUGCGUAGGCGGACUAAUAAGUCAGUGGUGAAAGCCUGCAGCUUAACUGCAGAAUUGCCAUUGAUACUGUUAGUCUUGAGUACAGUUGAGGUUGGCGGAAUGUGUCAUGUAGCGGUGAAAUGCUUAGAUAUGACACAGAACACCGAUUGCGAAGGCGGUCUCUUGGUCCGACACUGACGCUGAGGCGCGAAAGCGUGGGGAGCAAACA
RNAcentral lists this ribosomal RNA (422 nucleotides) under uncultured bacterium. RNAcentral describes it as "bacterial SSU rRNA". It matches the Rfam family "Bacterial small subunit ribosomal RNA", at positions 355 to 774 of the family's 1533-position model. The record is from RNAcentral.